UUUCUGUAAAUGACAUCAGAAUAUAUUGUUCAUAGAAAUUGAACGUUUUGGUAAAUAGUCUUAAUCACAAAUCAUCAGAAAUGUAUUUAGCAACAAAAAGUUCAUAGUCCUGCUUGGUUUCCACUAGCACACUGUGAUUAUCAUGUUCCGAAUAGGUAUACGUCCAAUAGGUUAACAAAUUUGUCAUAGUUCUUCAUCAUAACUGUUCUAAUAAGUUGCAAAUGUUAUUAGUUCAGUAUCUUAACAUUUGAUAUAUGAAUAGUUUGUGUCCAUGAAAUAUCAUCAUCAGGCUUUCAAC
This 298-nucleotide long non-coding RNA is filed under the name Mytilus galloprovincialis (Mediterranean mussel). The record is from RNAcentral. Lineage: Eukaryota; Metazoa; Mollusca; Bivalvia; Mytilida; Mytilidae.